RNAcentral lists this ribosomal RNA (436 nucleotides) under Brevibacterium iodinum. RNAcentral's name for it is "bacterial SSU rRNA". It matches the Rfam family "Bacterial small subunit ribosomal RNA", at positions 662 to 1103 of the family's 1533-position model. The record is from RNAcentral. Lineage: Bacteria; Bacillati; Actinomycetota; Actinomycetes; Micrococcales; Brevibacteriaceae.
UGGAAUUCCUGGUGACCGAUGAGAUGCGCAGAUUCAUGAGGAAUCCGGUGGCGAAUGCAGGACUCUGGGCUGUAACUUACACUGAGGAGCGAAAGCAUGGGGAGCGAACAGGAUUAGAUACCCUGGUAGUCCAUGCCGUAGACGUUGGGCACUAGGUGUGGGGGACAUUCCACGUUCUCCACGCCGUAGCUAAGGCAUUACGUGCCCCGCCUGGGGAGUACGGUCGCAAGGCUAAGACUCGAGGAAUUGACUGGGGCCCGCACAAGCGGCGGAGCAUGCGGAUUAAUUCGAUGCAACGCGCAGAACCUUACCAGGCUUGACAUACACUGGACCGUUCUGGACACUGUUCUUCUCUUUGGAGCUGGUGUACAGGUGUGCAUGGUUGUCGUCAGCUCGUGUCGUGAGAUCUGCGUUAAGUCCCGCAACGAGCGCACCC